AGAGUUUGAUCAUGGCUCAGGAUGAACGCUGGCGGCACGCUUAACACAUGCAAGUCGAACGAGAGAAGAGGAGCUUGCUUUUCUGAUCUAGUGGCGGACGGGUGAGUAACACGUGAGCAAUCUGCCUUUCAGAGGGGGAUACCGAUUGGAAACGAUCGUUAAUACCGCAUAACAUAAUUGAACCGCAUGAUUUGAUUAUCAAAGAUUUAUCGCUGAAAGAUGAGCUCGCGUCUGAUUAGCUAGUUGGUAAGGUAACGGCUUACCAAGGCGACGAUCAGUAGCCGGACUGAGAGGUUGAUCGGCCACAUUGGGACUGAGACACGGCCCAGACUCCUACGGGAGGCAGCAGUGGGGAAUAUUGCACAAUGGAGGAAACUCUGAUGCAGCGAUGCCGCGUGAGGGAAGAAGGUUUUAGGAUUGUAAACCUCUGUCUUCAGGGACGAAAAAAGACGGUACCUGAGGAGGAAGCUCCGGCUAACUACGUGCCAGCAGCCGCGGUAAUACGUAGGGAGCGAGCGUUGUCCGGAAUUACUGGGUGUAAAGGGAGCGUAGGCGGGAUCGCAAGUCAGAUGUGAAAACUAUGGGCUUAACCCAUAAACUGCAUUUGAAACUGUGGUUCUUGAGUGAAGUAGAGGUAAGCGGAAUUCCUAGUGUAGCGGUGAAAUGCGUAGAUAUUAGGAGGAACAUCAGUGGCGAAGGCGGCUUACUGGGCUUUAACUGACGCUGAGGCUCGAAAGCGUGGGGAGCAAACAGGAUUAGAUACCCUGGUAGUCCACGCCGUAAACGAUGAUUACUAGGUGUGGGGGGACUGACCCCUUCCGUGCCGCAGCAAACGCAAUAAGUAAUCCACCUGGGGAGUACGACCGCAAGGUUGAAACUCAAAGGAAUUGACGGGGGCCCGCACAAGCAGUGGAGUAUGUGGAUUAAUUCGAAGCAACGCGAAGAACCUUACCAGGUCUUGACAUCGUAUGCAUAGCUCAGAGAUGAGUGAAAUCUCUUCGGAGACAUAUAGACAGGUGGUGCAUGGUUGUCGUCAGCUCGUGUCGUGAGAUGUUGGGUUAAGUCCCGCAACGAGCGCAACCCUUACUGUUAGUUGCUACGCAAGAGCACUCUAGCAGGACUGCCGUUGACAAAACGGAGGAAGGUGGGGAUGACGUCAAAUCAUCAUGCCCCUUAUGACCUGGGCCUCACACGUACUACAAUGGCUGUCAACAGAGGGAAGCAAAGCCGCGAGGUGGAGCGAACCCCUAAAAGCAGUCUUAGUUCGGAUUGUAGGCUGCAACUCGCCUACAUGAAGUCGGAAUUGCUAGUAAUCGCAGAUCAGCAUGCUGCGGUGAAUACGUUCCCGGGCCUUGUACACACCGCCCGUCACGCCAUGGGAGUCGGUAACACCCGAAGCCUGUAGUCUAACCGCAAGGAGGACGCAGUCGAAGGUGGGAUUGAUGACUGGGGUGAAGUCGUAACAAGGUA
Molecule: ribosomal RNA, 1470 nt
Filed under: metagenome
Description: bacterial SSU rRNA
Rfam family: Bacterial small subunit ribosomal RNA
Source: RNAcentral